Molecule: long non-coding RNA, 1538 nt
Organism: Hylaeus volcanicus
Lineage: Eukaryota; Metazoa; Arthropoda; Insecta; Hymenoptera; Colletidae
Exons: 7
Source: RefSeq, a predicted model, not a curated record
CAAAAGAAAUUAUGAGUCUGCGAAAUAAAUAUAGUGGCAUACUUCUAAACCAGAUCCCGAAUUAUUCGCAAUCAAUGCAGCACAAUAACGUCGCAAUCUGCCACCAGUCACUGAUGUCGCAUCACGAGUAACACAGUCACCGAUCUAAUGUAACGAAAGUAGUUCAUGUGAGGAAUUCGCGGCAAGGCUUUUCAGAUUUGAAACAAGUAUAGGAGAACCCCAAGGAAGAUACUACCAAUAAUAAAAAGUUAUAAACAUUGUACGUGCUGAGUUGAAGAUUCGAGAGAACAUUCUUCGCUUAAAACAGCUCCGAAAUUCGUGGAAGCUUCUUUAAUGGAACACUACAUAGAGUUUUUAUUUAGCAAAAACAAUAAAAUAUGUUUUUUUUGAAUUUUUUCAUUUUUUAAUAUUCUCACCAGUCCCCAAGUUAAACAUUCAUGAUAUCCACAUUGUGUAAAUUCAUCACGAAGGCGUUCUUACAUUAUUAAAACGGAAAAAAUCGCAAAUCCGAAACGCAGGUGUAUGAAUGCUGAGAAAUACUGUAAAAAUCCAUUUUAAGAGUAUCGUGAUCUUUUUGAUUUUCACUAAAUCACAAGGGUGUAAAAUAUCAGAUCUUGUCACCGGAAUAAUUGCCUUUAUUUUUUCAUUUUCUAUUGGUUGUGCUUUAAUCAUCAUUUUCUUUAAAAGAUUGCAUAUGGAAAUGGCUGUGAGAUUCGGAAUACCAGUGAUCUCUUUGAUAUAGUCGGUUGUCGUCUCUAUAACGUUCCUACAGUAUAAGAACCAAAUAACAUAUUGUUGGGAAACAAGUAACUUGUGAAAUCAGACAAAGUCACUAAAUGCGUUGGAUAAACAAUGAGGCACUAACUGUCAAGAUUACUUAGUUUUAAACUAAAGAUUUUUAACUUGUUACUGGUGAAAAACCUACGUUUUAAAAAUUGGAUUAACAAAUUUUUUGUUCGGUAAUAAAGAAUGAUUUUCAUCGUAACAGACUUGAACGGGCUCUAUACUAAAAAACAAAACCGUUUGACUUGAAAUUUAUUUAACGCAGUCUACCUGAAUGGUGUAGAACAAUAUUCAGAAAAUGCUGUUAGUAACGUAUUUAAAACUGUGGAACCCUUGAAAGCAUCAAGUGCUGUGACUUCAAUAAAAACAUUACGCGUAGUAAUUGUUAUUUUGGAAUGCUUGCUGUUAAUGAUGGGAGGCAAAGAUAGCACCGUGCCGUUCGCAUCUCGAAUAACAGGAUAAACAGGUGAAUCAAUUAUCAGAGGUAGAUAAGUUUUCAGUUGAGCGUGUGUCUAAGCAAAAGGAACAUGAAUUUGAAAAUAAAAAGGAUUUCGGUUUUGAAGCGUUUUUUUCUUUUCUUUUCUUUUCUUAAACAUUUUCGAUUAGACACUAAAACGCUACCGAUAAAGUUUCCAUAAUUUCAGGGCCAUUUAAUGGCUUUGAUUCAUAAAGAGGAACAAACUGAAUGUCGUUAGGUGCUUGUGCUUCAUACACAAAUGGUCCCACAACUGUAUCCAAGUCAUGCGUUCCGAUAG